CUCUCGGCAACGGAUAUCUAGGCUCUCGCAUCGAUGAAGAACGUAGCGAAAUGCGAUACUUGGUGUGAAUUGCAGAAUCCCGCGAAUCAUCGAGUUUUUGAACGCAAGUUGCGCCCGAAGCCAUUCGGUCGAGGGCACGUCUGCCUGGGUGUCACGCAUCGUUGC
This 165-nucleotide ribosomal RNA is filed under the name Quercus virginiana. Its description in RNAcentral is "5.8S ribosomal RNA". It matches the Rfam family "5.8S ribosomal RNA". Rfam says of the family: 5.8S ribosomal RNA (5.8S rRNA) is a component of the large subunit of the eukaryotic ribosome. Lineage: Eukaryota; Viridiplantae; Streptophyta; Magnoliopsida; Fagales; Fagaceae. The record is from RNAcentral. RNAcentral also lists the same sequence under 1 other name.